Molecule: ribosomal RNA, 254 nt
Filed under: uncultured bacterium
Lineage: Bacteria
Description: partial 16S ribosomal RNA
Rfam family: Bacterial small subunit ribosomal RNA
Source: RNAcentral
UACGGGGGGGGCAAGCGUUGUUCGGAAUUACUGGGCGUAAAGGGCUCGUAGGCGGCCAACUAAGUCGGACGUGAAAUCCCUCGGCUUAACCGGGGAACUGCGUCCGAUACUGGAUGGCUGGAGUAUGGGAGAGGGAUGCGGAAUUCCAGGUGUAGCGGUGAAAUGCGUAGAUAUCUGGAGGAACACCGGUGGCGAAGGCGGCAUCCUGGACCAUUACUGACGCUGAGUGAGCGAAAGCCAGGGGAGCAAACGGG